CGCGCGGGGCUCCGACGGGGGCGGCGGCCGCGCGGCCGGUAUAUGCUCCGAGGGUGGCUAGCUGCCCCGUGGAAGAAGCUACAAGAUAUCAACGAGCCGCUGUAAUAAAGCAGAAGUAUUUGACACUGAGAGUGUAGAGCUAUAUAGUUUCUUUUUUAUUAUGAAUGGGGUGGUGGGUAUGGGGCAGGACAGGAGGGACACACUGAAGUUCAAAAGCGAGAUGUACUAACGUACUGCUUUGGAGUUUAAGAAGCUGAAGGCAAUGAUGAAGCUCAAGAGGAGGAGAAGCUAGUGUGAUCAGUCUGCCUGCCUCUGUGAUCCCCCGCAGCACUGGCUGGAAGUCCGCCGCGUGUCAGUGAGGAGCUGCUGCAGAAGGAAGAAGAAGAAGCAGCGUGGGGACCUGGGAGGCAGGAGCAAGCAAGAAGAGGAAGCGGAAGCGUGCAGAUGCGGGGGGGAAGGAGCGUGGCCCCCUGUAACGGAGGGCGAGAGCCACCUCUCCGCACCUGAGUGGGAAAUGGAGCUCGCCGGACCCCAAGGCCACCCUGUAAGCAGGGUAGUGCCGUUUCCCUGCCCCUCUUCCUCCCCCGGCCCCUCGGCAUCGUUGCCUGAUGGUGGCUUGUCAAUGCGACGGCCCCGUACUCGGGGUGUGCGUCACGGCAUUUGGCCGUUGGCUUUACCUGAGAAGCCCCUUGGCACGUUGAGGUCUGUGGCCUCCGUGCAGCCUAGGGACAGGUCACAGGCUCUUGUCUGUUGCCCGUGGUUGUGGGUUUAUUCCCAGGUGUUGGCUGUGCUGCGUUGUCCUUCCCUUCUGGAAAGUCGUGCCUGUGUGUGCGUGUUCCCCUUCCUUUCCUUGAUUGUGUUUGUGGAGUGGUUGAGCGGCUGUGCUUUCCCUUUAGGCCUCCACAAAGAUGGCUGCAGCUUAGCUUUGACUUCCCAGGGGGGAAUGGAGGACUUUGGUGCAUGCCGCAAAAGGGGUGUUCCCUCUUAGUCCUGCGAGCGCAGCGAGUGUCCUGUCUUCCUACUAUUUUCCUUAGUGCAGAUCAGAGCCACACGGUAGUUCUGUGGCCAAGGCCUCCCUGUAGCCAGGGCUUGGGCCUGUCCUUGCGUGGCCGCCUGUCCUGCUGGCGGCGGUGACAGCCCCGUACUCGGGGUGUGUGUCCCAAGCUUCGGAGCCCUCUGUCCCUGAGCAGCCCGCCCGCCCUGUAAUCAGGUGUGGGGAGGCUGCAGCGUUGCAGCCGGCUGCUUUAGCCAUCCAGCUGGUGGGAGUGACCCCUCCCUGUCCCGUCAGAGGGUGCAGGUUGAGGUGCUGUUUGUGUGUGGGGUGACCUCCCCGCUCGGUGGGUCGAGGUAGCUCCCUGGGCUUCCAAAGACGAGACGUUGGUGAUGUUCUGGUGCUGCCGGGCGGGCCAGCCUGUAACUCAGGCGUUGGCGGGAGCCUCGUGCUCCGCGGGGCUUCUUGAAGAGGGUGAGGUGUGGGGGUACCGUCCUGUAGGCAGGGCUGUGUGUGCCCCCCGUGUGUGCUUGGUGAGCUGCGUUCUGAGAGACCCCCUGUACUCAGGUGGGAAUGUGGCCCCGGCCUUUCAGAGGCGCGGGGCCGUGAGAUGCGGGGUGGGGCUUGCGCCCUCCCUGGAAUCGGGGCUGGGAUCCCGACUGCGGCCUUUGGCCGUGCCGCCCCGCUGCCUGGCUGCUGAGAGUUGCUCCUGCCGCUGGGGGGGAAACCGAGCUCUGUGGCUCCAGGGGUGUUGUCCACCCGCCUGUAAUCAGGGUCUGGGUGCGUGAGCGUUUGUGCUCUGCUGGCAGCCUGUGUGGGGUGACCGCCCCGCUAGCGGGGUGUGGGUCGAGGUGCCCCGGACUGGGAGAGAAGGAGCCUCCCUCGGCCGUAGGGAUGGGGGCUGCCCUGUAAGUCAGGGAGCAUCUGUGUCCCGGAGUCCCAGGCCCUUUUCGAUGGCGGCAGUGGCCGGGGGUCCCCUGUAAGCAGGGAAGCUGACUCUUUGGCUGCUGCUUUUUGUGUGCCCAGCCCCAUUUGCCCAGUCUGCCCGCCUCUGUGAUCCCCCGCAGCACUGGC
Molecule: long non-coding RNA, 2065 nt
Filed under: Gallus gallus (chicken)
Lineage: Eukaryota; Metazoa; Chordata; Aves; Galliformes; Phasianidae
Source: RNAcentral